This 468-nucleotide ribosomal RNA is filed under the name uncultured bacterium. RNAcentral's name for it is "partial 16S ribosomal RNA". It matches the Rfam family "Bacterial small subunit ribosomal RNA", at positions 28 to 507 of the family's 1533-position model. The record is from RNAcentral.
GACGAACGCUGGCGGCGUGCUUAACACAUGCAAGUCGAACGGAAAGGCCCUGCUUUUGUGGGGUGCUCGAGUGGCGAACGGGUGAGUAACACGUGAGUAACCUGCCCUUGACUUUGGGAUAACUUCAGGAAACUGGGGCUAAUACCGGAUAGGAGCUCCUGCUGCAUGGUGGGGGUUGGAAAGUUUCUGCGGUUGGGGAUGGACUCGCGGCUUAUGAGCUUGUUGGUGGGGUAGUGGCUUACCAAGGCUUUGACGGGUAGCCGGCCUGAGAGGGUGACCGGCCACAUUGGUACUGCGAGACGGCGCAGACUGCUACGGUAGGCAGCAGUGGGGAACAUUGCACAAUGGGAGGAAGCCUGAUGCAGCAACGCCGCGUUCGGGAUGACGGCCUUCGGGUUGUGAACCGCUUUCGCCUGUGACGAAGCGUUAGUGACGGUAAUGGGUAAAGAAGCACCGGCUAACUACGUG